CUCCUUCUGGGAAGAAGGAAGGGUGUGAAAGCAACCUGGAGGUGGGAGAGGAUGCUGUGCACCCCUUGCUGAUCACCCGAACCCCAGGGGUUGGUCCUGGGUCCAGGGAUUUCCCGGGUAUCUCUCCGGGCUCUGGACAGGGACCCAGACACGGCCUGCAGAGCAGCUAUGGCUGAGUGGGGCAGAGAGGUCCCAUCCUGGUGGUCUGGGGACCCGGCCUCACCCUCUCAUUCUCCCUUUGCUUGCUGUUUCCAGGGCCACGGGGGUUCCGUGGCUGUUCUUAUGGGGUUCACAUGGCUGCAUGUGAAGAGGCCGCCCCAAACCACCAAGGGUGUCAGAGCUCAGCCCAGUGGCCUGGAGCACGUCUGGGCAGUGGUGUCAGAGCCCCACACCACUCCCCAUCUCUGGGUACCUCCUCUUGACCUGACCUUGGAUCAUUUCUCCUUAAUGCCUAGGGUUCUGGAUUUUUUAUUUCCCCAGGGCUGGGGAUCGAACAUAGGCCUUGCACACCAUAGACAAGCACUCUCCCACUGAGCUCCACCCCGCUCGGGGGCCUCUGGACUCUUAACCAGCUUAGCCUCCCUCCUCUGAUCCCAGCACGGAAGUAAACAAAGACCAUCCAACCAACAAGGACUCUCGCUCAGGAGUGAUGCCAUGGCAGGACGGGGAGAGCUUCAGAGUGGACAGGAGACCAUUUCCGGUGUGCCUGGCAGGAGGCUUCCAGCCUAGGGAUCAGGAGGCAGCUACCUGGACGCGGGACACCCCAUUUAAUUGGCCAGAGGAACAUAUUUGGCUUUUGCUUGGAAAAGAGGAUAAGUUGGAAACAGAGAGCACGGGAAGAGAAUAUUGUGGCUGCAGUUCUUGAAAACCCUGCCUCAUACUGUGGCUUUGGGAAGACAGAGAAGCUGACUGCAGGAGCUCCACCUGCACUUCCUGCUCCAGAUGCUCCCUCCAUGGAGACCCCUGGAAUAAACCAGAGUGGGGCCCCAAAUGCCAAGGAACUUCUUGCCAUCACCCAUUUCUGAUGGCUAUUGCCAGCCCCAGCAGGAAGAGGAGAAGCUGGACUGAAGGUGGUAAAGAAGCCCAGAAGAGGCUGCAGUCUCUGCAAAAGCACUGAGAUGCAAAGGCCCCACUCCUCUGAGCUGGUUUUGAACUUCUGGCUUCAGGAGAUCCUCUUGCCUCAGCCUCCUUGAAUAGCUGGCACUACAAGUAUGUUCCACCGUACCCAGCUUGCAUCAGUAGUUGAAGUGCUGGGGGACCAAAUCCUGCAUGCUAGGAAAGUGCUCUACCACUGAGCUACGUCUGCAGCCCAAGGUCACCAUUUUGCCUGCCCACCAGCAGUGUAUGUGGGUUUAGGGUGAUUCACAGCUUUGCCAGCGCUUGGUGCUGUCAGUCUUGUUAUUUCAGACUUCACAGCAGGACUUUGACACCAUCCAUCUAGGUAGAACCUCUGGCUAAGCUCCCAGGGAGGAGGAGAAAUGCCAAUUUUACAGAAAACUCAAGAAGAUCCAUUCACCUGCUUCCUGGGAGAACAGAUGGUAUUUUGCCUGAGGAAUAUGAAGAAUGCAAAUUUGCUUUCUCUCACUCAGGAUGGAGUUGGUGCUUAUAAAAAGAUACACAGACUAAUAAAUGCUGCCAGUUUGCAAAGCCAACUUAUCCUAGUUUUUUGACAACAAAAUGGUACAUCCUGCAAGAUGUUACUUCUCCACUUGAAACACAUUUUUCAUCAAGCCAAAUAAGUUGCCACAGAUGCCACACCUCCUUCUUACAUGUGUCUUCCUGCCUCUGCCUCCCAGAGUGCUGGGAUUACAGGCAUGUGCCACCAUGCCUAGUCCUACAAACUUCCUCAAACUGUGGAGUCAGGGUUCAUCUUGAUCUGUGUCAGGUCUGAAUACAGUGCCCUCUGGGUCUCUGCUGAGGCUGUCACGUGACACCAGAGUGAAGAGCAGAGGUGACCAAGGGGGAGUGGUCCUUCAGACCCUGGCUGUAGCUCCUAUUCUGUAUCUGGGAAGACUCCUAGCUCUGGCCUCUUGUGAACCCCAGGAAGGAUGGGACUUCUGAGUUCUCUCUGAGCUUGUCAUGCAGUGCCAAUAUUACACUGUGUACUACAUUA
This is a non-coding RNA of Heterocephalus glaber (naked mole-rat), 2113 nucleotides long. The record is from RefSeq and is a predicted model, not a curated record. NCBI's taxonomy places the organism in Eukaryota, Metazoa, Chordata, Mammalia, Rodentia, Bathyergidae.